This is a long non-coding RNA of Nerophis ophidion (straightnose pipefish), 1790 nucleotides long. RefSeq lists it as uncharacterized. The transcript has 3 exons. Lineage: Eukaryota; Metazoa; Chordata; Actinopteri; Syngnathiformes; Syngnathidae. The record is from RefSeq and is a predicted model, not a curated record.
GCUAGUAGGCAUUGACCUGAUCAGCCCAUUCAAGGAAAGAGCAGAGGGCUUCAAGUAUGUUCUCACAGGCACCUGCCUGUUCUGUAAGUGGGUUGAGGCAGAACCAAUCAGAGACAAGUCAGCCGAGGGUGUGUUUCAAGGUCUGAUGAAAUGGAUUAAUUGCCGGGGUGCACCACUUCAAAUUCUCAGCGACCAGGGGAAAGCUUACCACCCCCAGACAAAUGGCUAAAAUGAGAGAACAAAUGGAACACUUAAGCGACAUCUUUCCAAGAUGGUGAAUGAGCAGCAGAACGACUGCAACUUGUACGCUGAACAGGCUUGCUGGGGCAUCCGUUCCAGCUACGAGUCAACAAAACAUACGCCAUUUGAGGUGAUGAUUGGGCGAAAGCCACGUUUCCCAUCAGAGCUCCCAGAGGGAAUUGAUCACGAGUCGAUCAGCCACAAUGACCCUGCACCAAAUUAAGUUGUUGAAUAUGUCAGCAACACACAAGAAAAGCAGUCAGCAGUCCAUGAUAAAGUGACAACCAACAAUGAGGCUGCCAAAGAAAAACAAAAGAAGUAUUACCAGCUAAAGCACAUGAAAGGAUUCAAGUCAUACAACUUUGCUGUUGGCCAACAGGUUUAUGCUGAUUGCUAAAUGUUCUGCCCUAACAUUAUGGGAAAACAAAGUUUAGUGGAACUUUGCUGUUCACAAGGACAGAGCUUACAGUAUUCUGUAUAGAUUGUUUAUUAUAAGUAGUGCUGUAUGAUUUCUUUUUAGGUUAUAAAAGCUAACCACAAGAAGCUUGGGGGUCCCAAGGGAGACAGAAUGGCACCAGACUGAGAUCACUGAGCUGACAGGACACCAAGCAGUUCUCCAGAACAGCAAGACAGGCCAAGUGUUAAAGAGCAUUUAUCUGCAACACCUCAAGCCUUUCAAGGAAACUCCACCUUCUUCUCAACAAUCACUGUCUAACCUUAAUUCAACACCAGCACCAACAGAGUUAUCUGGACUCUCUUAGACAGACAGUGGGUUCAGAUUCUGAACACAGGACAGCACUGGGUGACAGCCAGCAACAUCAUUUCACAAGAUACUGUACAGGUGUAUGAUAGUUUGUACAGCAGCAAAGCCUCCAAAAAGACAACAUCACAGCUCUCUGUCCUUUCAUACUUGUUCUCCGAAAACAGCCAACUGACAAAUCAGUAUAUGAAUACUCGGAGACAGAACGGAACUUCUGAUUGUGGGCUCUUUGCAGUAGCUGUGGCCACUGCUCUUUGCCAAGGACAGGACCCAAAUUCACUGUUGUUUUGCCAGGGCAGCAUGAGACAACACCUCAAGUCUUGCUUUGAGACUGGGUGGCUGAAACCUUCCCCAUAAAAAAAAAAGCAAUGUGUCCAUCAAGGUUAAAGCACAAGAGACAAUUUAGAUGAGCUUUCUGGGGAAAAUGUGAAAAAAUAUGUAAUUAGGGGAAUUGUACAUAGACAUGAUUGAUUAUGUGAGGUUGUGUAUAUUGUUGUAGCUAUGAUGGUACUGAAUAUAUUGAUAAUAAAAGAACAUGUUUUGAUGAUGUGUGAUUUUAAUGAUGGAUGAACAGUAUGGAUGAUGAGUGAUAUUGAAAGAUUAAAAUAUAGUGCAAAUACGAUGAUGUGUGACUUUGUUAAAAGUACUGUGUUGGUGAUGACUGAUAACAAUUCAUAAAAAUAUGGUGCUUCUGAAUGUACUAAUAAUGAAUGAUUUUGAUGCUUAAAACUAUUUGCCGAAUGUAUAUAUUGAUGAGUGAAGGUUUGGAAUAAACAUGAAGUUUCAUCUA